This 439-nucleotide ribosomal RNA is filed under the name uncultured bacterium. Its description in RNAcentral is "partial 16S ribosomal RNA". It matches the Rfam family "Bacterial small subunit ribosomal RNA", at positions 339 to 795 of the family's 1533-position model. The record is from RNAcentral.
CUACGGGUGGCUCCAGUGAGGAAUAUUGCACAAUGGGGGAAACCCUGAUGCAGCAACGCCGCGUGGAGGAUGACGCAUUUCGGUGUGUAAACUCCUUUUAUCAGAGAAGAAAAUGACGGUAUCUGAUGAAUAAGCUCCGGCUAACUCCGUGCCAGCAGCCGCGGUAAUACGGAGGGAGCAAGCGUUAUUCGGAAUCACUGGGCGUAAAGGACGCGUAGGCGGGUUAUUAAGUCAGGUGUGAAAUCCAAUGGCUCAACCAUUGAACUGCACUUGAAACUGGUAACCUAGAGUAUGGAAGGGGCAGAUGGAAUUAGUGGUGUAGGGGUAAAAUCCGUAGAUAUCACUAGGAAUACCGAAAGCGAAGGCGAUCUGCUGGGACAUUACUGACGCUGAGGCGUGAAAGCGUGGGGAGCAAACAGGAUUAGAUACCCGUGUAGUC